AAGUACAAAGUACUGCACGAAACAUUCAAACUUGGGAUUAUUUUUUUUUUUCCUACUAAGAGUCUGAAACCUCAAAGGCAGCCUAAUCACUAUACAGAGAAAGGAGUUUUUUUUUUUUGGCAUACGACCAAAUUUUUGUCCUUACAAUUGUGGUUCCCCAUGGCUCAGAUCGAUUGCUCCUUUUGUCAGUAUGUGCCAAAUAUAUUACCCAAAAGGUAAAAAUGCAGCAAAAAUAAAUCAAAGCAGAAUGGCUGUCUCUGAAGACAACUUUGACUUUCUUCCGCUGGACUCUGACUGAUUUCUUGAGAGCCCAGAGUUCCUGAGAGCAAUCCGAGGAGGACUUUAUUGAAUCUUUGACUACAGAAAUUCAGAGUUUACAACCUGAAGUCCAAUCUUCUCCUUUUGCAGAUGAAGAAAGGGAGUCCCAGGGAGGGAAAGAGACUUGUGUAUGAUUUCACUACUAAUUAGAGGCAGAUUGAGAUGAGAAAAAUCCUGGGGCAGCUUUCUUUCCCUUGCAGACACAUAGUCUGUUCCAAGAGAAGCCAGUGUGGUCCUGUCCCCAAAGACCUUUGCUUUUAUCAAUUCUUUCUGCUCAUGGCUCUCAAAUCAGGGGUUUUACUGAUGAAACAAGUGGACAAAGAGUUUAAAACGGCCCUUGCGCUCAGGAAAUGGGCACACUGGGCUCCAGAGUUAUUGCCUGGAAGUGCCCCACGUGGCAGGAAGCUUCUUCCCUUUGCCUGGUUCUCCUCUGAACCCCAGCUUCAGUCAAAUUUACUUCUCCUCAGGGUCCUUUUAGUUUCGCUUAAUGAGACUGGUGGUGGCUGAGUGUUUGAUUGACACUUGGUUAUGUACAGCUUGUAUUCAUCUUCCUGAGAAAGGACAUUGCACAAGAAAGGAUCGCCAAGGGCAACCGUGGUGGCAUUUCUGAGAGAGCAGCGGCAUUCCCAGCAAUGGAAGGAAAUACCAACGGCUGACCAGCGGAUGGAGGGAUGGUGGGAGGCACAGUUCCUUAAGGAAUUAAAAUAAUCCUAUGCAGGGAGACCUAGGGUUCUUUUUUAACCACCCAUCAGAUCUGCUCACUUUUUACCUACCCUUAGUUCAGAUUUCUGAGUCAAGUGUCGGCUGGAGGGAAAUGCUCGCGGGAGUAACAUCCAGUCGGUUGCAAAUGCGUCUCAACAUCUCAAUUGCUGUAUUGGGUCCAACCACACUUCACUGUCAGAUGCAGGGACUCACUGGAGUCCCUCAGCUAAGAAAUGCAAAUCCUUGCCUGCCUAUAGCCAGGUCCCAAGCAAUGCCUUUGGAGGCUUAGCCAGCACAGGGUGACUUGGAAUAGAGCUGGCUGGGCGUGUGGCCUGGCCGGGACCGGGGAACUGGCAAGCUGGCUGGAAUCUCUCCUGCUUCAGGCCAGUGACUAUUACUUUUGGUAGGCCAAAAGUAAAGAAAAUGGUUUUAACUCACUUUGCAUCCUCCGUACUGCCUGGUGAGAGGGUGGGCAAGAGAAAUAGUUGUUCUGUGUUGGUGGCGCUUUUGGUAGCUCUGGCUAAGCUGCUGCCCAUGCCCACCCUCCCUUUCUCCACAGCCCCACCUCCCUGCCAUUUUCUCUUUAGAACAGAACUCUGGGCACGGCACGUAACUAUGCACGUAAGAGAAUAUAUCUUCUUGUUUCAGUUCUCGGCGGACACAACAUCUUUGUUUGUAUGUGGUGCUGAGGAUCGAACCCGAGCCACACUCAUGCCAGAUGAAGAAACUGAGGCCCAGAGAAGCCAAGCCAUAUCUCAAAAGUUUGCUCAGCAAGUUAGUGAUAGAGCUGAGGCUAAAACCCUGAUUCCUCUCCCAUAACCUAUUGCUGCUUCAUCAAAGAAGUUAUUGGUAAUAAAGAAAAUGAGUGGUAUCCUAAGUGUU
Molecule: long non-coding RNA, 1902 nt
Organism: Ictidomys tridecemlineatus (thirteen-lined ground squirrel)
Lineage: Eukaryota; Metazoa; Chordata; Mammalia; Rodentia; Sciuridae
Source: RefSeq, a predicted model, not a curated record